RNAcentral lists this ribosomal RNA (468 nucleotides) under uncultured bacterium. RNAcentral describes it as "partial 16S ribosomal RNA". It matches the Rfam family "Bacterial small subunit ribosomal RNA", at positions 28 to 507 of the family's 1533-position model. The record is from RNAcentral.
GACGAACGCUGGCGGCGUGCCUAACACAUGCAAGUCGAACGGAAAGGCCCUGCUCUUGUGGGGCGCUCGAGUGGCGAAGGGGUGAGUAACACAUGAGUAUACUGUCCCUGACUUUGGGAUAUCUCUAGGAAACUCGGGCUAAUAUAGCAGAGAAUCUCCUGAACCGUGGUGGGGGAUGGUAAGUUUCGGCGGUUGUGGCUGUACUGGCGGCAUAACAGCUUCCUAGGGGGGUAGUGGCUUACCAAGGCUUUGACGGGUAGGCGGCCUGAGGGGGUGACCGGCGACACUGGGACUGAGGUACGGCACAGGCUGCUAAGGGAGGGAGCAGGGCGGAAUCUUGCACAAUGGGCGCAACGCGGAUGAAGAAGCGCUGCGUGUGGGAAAACGGCGUUAGGGGGGUAAACCACUUGCGCCUGUGACGAAGCGUGAGUGGCGGUAACGGAUAAAGAAGGACCGGCUAACUACGUG